Perognathus longimembris pacificus (Pacific pocket mouse) is the source of this 561-nucleotide long non-coding RNA. RefSeq lists it as uncharacterized. The record is from RefSeq and is a predicted model, not a curated record. Lineage: Eukaryota; Metazoa; Chordata; Mammalia; Rodentia; Heteromyidae. The transcript is spliced from 3 exons.
CUAAUGUUAUCUGCUCUUUUAGGGCAAAGUUUCUCCACCUCGUCACUGCUGCCAUCCCGGUCAUUCUUUGUGGGCUCUGCAACUUCUGGGAUGUGUAAGAACAACUCUUGCCUUGAAAUUCCAGAUGCCGGUGGAUCCUCUCUCCCCAGUGGUGACAACCAAAGCUAUCUCUAGAUGUGGCCAAAUAUCCUUUAAGAGUAAGGGGGGGAAAAUCCCUCUACCCUCCAGGAACCACUGACCUAGAGUAAUGAAAGCUGAUGAGCUCACUUCAGUGGAAAAGUUCAUGUUUGCUUUGAAACUGACAGUUGGAGCCAAAAUCUCAGGUUGGUGAAGUUCAGCUCAGAUGCUAAAUUUAGGGUCAUUCAUUCUUCUCCAUAAUAUAAUGUGGAUAUGAAAUAGACAGGCUCUAGGGGAGGUCUUGUUUUUGUCCAGUUUCUAUCAAUCACCAUAUUUAUUGAGCAUCUAUUAUGGGAAACGAUGAGGUAGAUAGACUCUAAUGAGUCUACUAUGUGAGGUUCUGGUGACUUGGCCUUGGGAAAGGCUUUAAAAUUUCCGACCAUA